AUUGAACGCUGGCGGCAGGCCUAACACAUGCAAGUCGAACGCGUGGCGGACGUGUGAGUAAUGUCUGGGAAACUGCCUUAUGGAUGGGGUUAACUCCUGGAACCGGUAGCUAAUACCGCAUACCAUCGGAUGUUCCCAGAUGGGAUUAGCUAGUAGGUGGGGUAACGGCUCACCUAGGCGACGAUCCCUAGCUGGUCUGAGAGGAUGAUCAGCCACACUGGAACUGAGACACGGUCCAGACUCCUACGGGAGGCAGCAGUGGGGAAUAUUCCACAAUGGGCGAAAGCCUGACGCAGCAACGCCGCGUGUAUGAAGAAGGCCUUCGGGUUGUAAAGUACUUUCAGCGGGGAGGCGGUACCCGCAGAAGAAGCCCCGGCUAACUCCGUGUCAGCAGCCGCGGUAAUUC
RNAcentral lists this ribosomal RNA (406 nucleotides) under uncultured bacterium. RNAcentral's name for it is "partial 16S ribosomal RNA". It matches the Rfam family "Bacterial small subunit ribosomal RNA", at positions 30 to 526 of the family's 1533-position model. The record is from RNAcentral.